Molecule: long non-coding RNA, 2152 nt
Organism: Eriocheir sinensis (Chinese mitten crab)
Lineage: Eukaryota; Metazoa; Arthropoda; Malacostraca; Decapoda; Varunidae
Exons: 3
Source: RefSeq, a predicted model, not a curated record
GUUAUUUGGCACUGGUAUUAAAGUAUUUGGCACUGGUAUUAAAGUAUUUGGCACUGGUAUUAAAGUAUUUGGCACUGGUAUUAAAGUAUUUGGCACUGGUAUUAAAGUAUUUGGCACUGGUAUUAAAGUAUUUGGCACUGGUAUUAAAGUAUUUGGCACUGGUAUUAAAGUAUUUGGCACUGGUAUUAAAUUAUAUGGCACUGGUAUUAAAGUAUUUGGCACUGGUAUUAAAGUAUUUGGCACUGGUAUUAAAGUAUUUGGCACUGGUAUUAAAGUAUUUGGCACUGGUAUUAAAGUAUUUGGCACUGGUAUUAAAGUAUUUGGCACUGGUAUUAAAGUAUUUGGCACUGGUAUUAAAGUAUUUGGCACUGGUAUUAAAGUAUUUGGCACUGGUAUUAAAGUAUUUGGCACUGGUAUUAAAGUAUUUGGCACUGGUAUUAAAGUAUUUGGCACUGGUAUUAAAGUAUUUGGCACUGGUAUUAAAGUAUUUGGCACUGGUAUUAAAGUAUUUGGCACUGGUAUUAAAGUAUUUGGCACUGGUAUUAAAUAUUUGACACUGGUAUUAGUUAUUUGACACUGGUAUUAGUUAUUUGACACUGGUAUUAGUUAUUUGACACUGGUAUUAGUUAUUUGACACUGGUAUUAGUUAUUUGACACUGGUAUUAGUUAUUUGACACUGGUAUAAGUUGGCACUGGUAUUAUUUGACACUGGUAUUAGUUAUUUGGCACUGGUAUUAAAGGCACUGGUAUUAUUUGACACUGGUAUUAGUUAUUUGGCACUGGUAUUAUUUAUUUGGCACUGGUAUUAUUUGACACUGGUAUUAAGGUAUUUGGCACUGGUAUUAAGGUAUCUGCCACUGGUAUUAAGGUAUUUGGCACUGGUAUUAAGGUAUUUGGCACUGGUAUUAGUUAAAAGUCCUUGGUAUUUAGCUAUCUGGCACCAUUCACUGGUAUCAAGCUCUGGCACUGGUAUAGAAUCACUAAGCACCGACAUGGGAUCACAAGGCACCAUUAAAUCACCAGUUACCUUGCAUCCCUAAAUUAUCACACGGGUAUUAAAUCACUGGUAUGGGCUCACUGGGCACUCACUGGCACUCUGAAUUUACCGUAACUAUCAGGUAUGUCAGAUCAAGUCAGCACAGUUCCUAGCUUUGGUACGAGUCACUGGUAUAUUGAUGAUGACCAGUACGAGGCAAAUGGUAUGAUGAAGUAGCUACCAUUUCUAAGCACUGGUAUGUUAUUGACUACCAGGACUAUUAAGCAACUGAUGGUAUAUGAACAGUGGUAUAUACGGAGACAAUGAGGCAGUGUAAAACCUCUUGUAUUAUGGACUACCAGUAUCAGGUCACCAGUAUUAGGUCACCAGUAUUAGGUCACCAGUAUUAAGUCACCAGUAUUAAGUCACCAGUAUUAAGUCACCAGUAUUAAGUCACCAGUAUUAAGUCACCAGUAUUAAGUCACCAGUAUUAAGUCACCAGUAUUAAGUCACCAGUAUUAAGUCACCAGUAUUAAGUCACCAGUAUUAAGUCACCAGUAUUAAGUCACCAGUAUUAAGUCACCAGUAUUAAGUCACCAGUAUUAAGUCACCAGUAUUAAGUCACCAGUAUUAAGUCACCAGUAUUAAGUCACCAGUAUUAAGUCACCAGUAUUAAGUCACCAGUAUUAAGUCACCAGUAUUAAGUCACCAGUAUUAAGUCACCAGUAUUAAGUCACCAGUAUUAAGUCACCAGUAUUAAGUCACCAGUAUUAAGUCACCAGUAUUAAGUCACCAGUAUUAAGUCACCAGUAUUAAGUAAGUCAGUCACCAGGUAAAGUCAGUCACCAGGUAAAGUCAGUCACCAGGUAAAGUCAGUCACCAGGUAAAGUCAGUCACCAGGUAAAGUCAGUCACCAGGUAAAGUCAGUCACCAGGUAAAGUCAGUCACCAGGUAAAGUCAGUCACCAGGUAAAGUCAGUCACCAGGUAAAGUCAGUCACCAGGUAAAGUCAGUCACCAGGUAAAGUCAGUCACCAGGUAAAGUCAGUCACCAGGUAAAGUCAGUCACCAGGUAAAGUCAGUCACCAGGUAAAGUCAGUCACCAGGUAAAGUCAGUCACCAGGUAAAGUCAGUCACCAGGUAGUCACAGGUAUGGAUCACUCUGGUUCAUCUAGUCA